Schistosoma haematobium is the source of this 45-nucleotide non-coding RNA. Lineage: Eukaryota; Metazoa; Platyhelminthes; Trematoda; Strigeidida; Schistosomatidae. The record is from Rfam.
AUCCAACCGAUGAGUCUGAAAUAGGACAAAACGCACGUCCUGUAU